This 515-nucleotide ribosomal RNA is filed under the name uncultured bacterium. Its description in RNAcentral is "partial 16S ribosomal RNA". It matches the Rfam family "Bacterial small subunit ribosomal RNA", at positions 28 to 523 of the family's 1533-position model. The record is from RNAcentral.
GAUGAACGCUGGCGGCGUGCCUAAUACAUGCAAGUCGAGCGAAUGGAUUAAGAGCUUGCUCUUAUGAAGUUAGCGGCGGACGGGUGAGUAACACGUGGGUAACCUGCCCAUAAGACUGGGAUUACUCCGGGAAACCGGGGCUAAUACCGGAUAACAUUUUGAACCGCAUGGUUCGAAAUUGAAAGGCGGCUUCGGCUGUCACUUAUGGAUGGAGCCGCGUCGCAUUAGCUAGUUGGUGAGGUAACGGCUCACCAAGGCAACGAUGCGUAGCCGACCUGGGAGGGUGAUCGGCCACACUGGGACUGAGACACGGCCCAGACUCCUACGGGAGGCAGCAGUAGGGAAUCUUCCGCAAUGGACGAAAGUCUGACGGAGCAACGCCGCGUGAGUGAUGAAGGCUUUCGGGUCGUAAAACUCUGUUGUUAGGGAAGAACAAGUGCUAGUUGAAUAAGCUGACACCUUGACGGUACCUAACCAGAAAGCCACGGCUAACUACGUGCCAGCAGCCGCGGUAA